AUCGUGAGGGCUAGCUGCGGCCUGCUGAGCAUCCGGGAAGACAGUGACUCUGAGAGGUGGUAUUUUCAGUGUCCUGCCUAAGAAAAAUUUGCCUUCCCCAGUGUCAUGAAGAGGUCUGAUCUGCUGCUGGUAUGGCUCCUGCAUACUCCGGUUCACGUCCUCUAUGCUUUAAUGUGCUGUGUCAUCUGUUUCCUUAUUUUCUGCAUUGGCUGCUCUCAGUAAUGUCGGAUGCAGAAGUCCUGGCUGCCCGCCACGUUGGACGACGAGGUGCACUGGCCAUCGCUACCAGUGCCUGAUGUCCAGAGAGCUAAUACUGCUCUGGGCUCCCAGGGCGGCUCUGCCACCCCCAGGCCGGCCAAAUGUUUGAGUCCUAUCGUAAAACGGCGUAGACGCAAGUUUGGAAAAUGCCCUUCCCCACUGCAGAGCAUUAUUUUUUUUGUAAGUGCUAGUGAGAUUUGUCCAGUUCUUGUUACCACAGUGGAGAACAGUCACUGGUAACAUGUUGAUUUUGAUCCUCUGCUGCUGCUGCUGCUAAGUCGCUUCAGUCGUGUCCGACUCUUAGCAACCCCAUGGACUGCAGCCUACCAGGCUCCUCUGUCCGUGGGAUUUUCCAGGCAAGAGUACUGGAGUGGGAUGCCAUUGCCUUCUCCGUUGAUCCUCUAGUUACUGCCAUUUUAUCACUUAUCUACUUAAUAUUUUAUCAUGUUCACCAACGAGUUAGCAUGGUCAGGAGGGGAAAUCAGAAGUCCAGUUAAUUUUAGCAAAUUUUGUGGAAUGUUCGGUGAAGUUCUGAAAAGGUAGUGCUAGCUACAAAGAGAUUUGAGGAUUAUUCAUGGGCUUUGCUUAUCUGUGCCCUUCUGGUCAUGCACCACUGCAGAUAAUUGGAAAAGUGCCGUGUGUGCGUUACCAUGUCAGGACACUGCUCGAUGACACAGUGUGAAAUGGCAGAUUUGGGUGAUGACAAUAGCUUGGUCUAAAGCAGUAUGGUAAAAUCAGCGAAAAACACAUUUAGAAACAAAAAGACAAAGUUACUGAACAAAACAGAAUGCAAAAUUAGUUUGAAACUGUAACAGAAGAAAAUCCAUGUGUUUAAUAUUCAGUGUAUGGACCCAUAAAAAGUCAAUUAAAGGUUUAAAAUUUCAGUGCUGAUCUAUAUGUUACCACAUGUUUCCUUAAGCCCUGGUGCAGAAAUGAAUGUUUCCAAGAAUAAUCAUUUCCUCAUGAGGUGCCUUAGGCCUGCCCUGCUCACGAGUUGGAGUCUGUUGGUCUAGUGAGAAGAACUGUUUGAAAAAUUAUAAUAGUCCUUCAGAUCUGAGAAAUGCAACAGGAAAAUGUAUUGUAGCCAGCACCGUUGAUAUAAUUUUCAGCUUUAAACAAUUACGGAUUUUCUUUUUACCAUCCUUUGUUUGUAGCCUCCUGAGAUCGUACCCUGUAGUUUUAUUUAUUAGUUUUUCACCCCUCUCAAAGGGGAAAAAAAAGAAGUUAACUGCCAGGGAACUGAUAUGAUAAAGAUGGCAGGGAGGUAAGAGAGUUCUGAAUUCAGAAAGUCUCUACAGGAAGCAGUACUUCAUUAAGAAGGUGCACACAAAAUUAUUUCAACUCUAAUUUCAGAUUCUGUCUAAAAAAAUAAAGGAAUUUGAU
Bos taurus (domestic cattle) is the source of this 1641-nucleotide long non-coding RNA. Lineage: Eukaryota; Metazoa; Chordata; Mammalia; Artiodactyla; Bovidae. The record is from Ensembl.